UUUUUUUUAAGACAAUUUAAUAGUAUAAAACACAUGUUGAUACUGACUGUGUACUAUGGGUAACACAUAGCAAAAACAAUAAGUCUUCCAAACGUUUGUAUAAAUAAUCACUAUGAAAGAAAGACAACUCUGAUGUUUACAAUAAUAGUUGCUUGCUAAUAAUUUCUAAUUUGUUAAGGUUCAUGAGGACCCUUUGGUUAAAAUGGCUGUAUUUUCACCUCAAAAUUUACUCUGAGUACAGACAAACCUGUGCAUCUGUAAAAUUUUAAGGCACAGCAUGCCCUAGAUAAAUAUAUUUCAAAUAUGUUUUGUGUUUUAGAAAAAUAAAAACUUACCAGGAUUUUGCAGUUCACUUUUUUUCAUUCCUCCAGAAGGUGCCAAAAUAAACUAAGUUGUGAAACAGUUUUGAGAACUUCCCCACAGGUAAUAAUUGAAGUGAGCUGUAUUGAUUGACAUGGACAAUAGAUGGACAAUAGAUACCUGACAAUAAUUGGUGAUUUAAACUGUGUACCUGAGUGGACCAUAUCAAGGAAAACUCAACUGUUUGUUAAUUUUAUCAUCUUCUGCAGGUACGAAAAAAAGUGCAUUGCAAAAUCCAGUUAAGUUAUGAAUUUUCUAAAUAAUACAAUGCAUUUGAAUACUAUUUAUCUAGGGCAUGCUAUGCCCUAAAACUUUUCCAGGUGCACAGAUUUGUCUGUACUCAGAGUAAAUUUUGAGGUGAAAAUACGGCCAUUUUAGCCAAAGGGUCCACAUGAACCUUAAUGUGAAUUUUAAAGCAUAUAUUUAUUUUCAAGCAUUUAUUUAUUUUAAAGCAUUUAUUUAUUUCAAUGCAUUUAUUUUUUCAACUUAACUGAGAGCAUUGGUAAAUGCAUUUUUUGACUCAUUGUGGUAAGUAAGCAAUGGUUACACAUUUGAAAUAAUUCACACACACAUUGUAGUUAUGUUCUUAACCAAAAGAUUUGAAUGUAAUACACUUAAUAAUAUACUAAAUAGAUAAGUAAUUUAGUCUUUCAAAUAAUCUUACAAUAUUUUCUGGAUUCUAUCCUACCCAAUCAUAGGUAUUAUUACCAAACAAGCCAGUUUUACUAGUUUUGUUGCACAGCAGGUUUAUUACAUGGGAUUUUCAAGUAGUUUGUAUUUCAUUUUCAUAUUUUCAAUCCUUAUUUGAUGCAUGUGAACAUAUUUGACAUAGCCUGUUUGAGGCAUGCUUGAUAAUAUAAAAAUAAGAAGAUGUGGUAUGAUGAAGGACAACUCUUCACCACAAAUCAACUGACAGAGCAGUUAGCAUCUAUAGGUCGCUUCAACAUUGAUAUAAAUGGUCUUCAACAAUGAUCAAACCUUAUACUACACAGCAAGCUAUAAAAAGUCCUGAAAUGACAAAUGUAAAACAAUACAAACAAGAAAACUGAAGACCUGAUUUAUAUACAAAACAAUAAACAAAAACCAACAAGCACUAUAGGAUCAAACUCUUGAUCUCACACCUGAAGAUGCUUCUGCACAACAAAUCACAUGGCUGUUAGCCAUCACCGUUCCAAAAUAUGACCAUGGACACAAAUCAAGAAAAAUGGCCAUUAAUGCUGAGGGUACUUACAACUGCAUUCAUCUGUAGUUAUAUCGGCCAAAAAUAAGAAAUUUCAAAAGUAAAUUUAAGAUGUAUAAGGUUCCUUAUCAGUUCUUAGUCAGUAAUAAAAAAUAAACUGAUAAUAUAUAUCAUAGCACAUGUACCAUUCAAUAACAUAACCUUUUUGUUACCAG
Molecule: long non-coding RNA, 1755 nt
Filed under: Mytilus galloprovincialis (Mediterranean mussel)
Lineage: Eukaryota; Metazoa; Mollusca; Bivalvia; Mytilida; Mytilidae
Source: RNAcentral